RNAcentral lists this RNase P RNA (428 nucleotides) under Candidatus Schekmanbacteria bacterium RBG_13_48_7. RNAcentral's name for it is "RNase P RNA component class A". It matches the Rfam family "Bacterial RNase P class A". From Rfam's summary of the family: Ribonuclease P (RNase P) is a ubiquitous endoribonuclease, found in archaea, bacteria and eukarya as well as chloroplasts and mitochondria. Its best characterised activity is the generation of mature 5'-ends of tRNAs by cleaving the 5'-leader elements of precursor-tRNAs. The record is from RNAcentral. Lineage: Bacteria; Candidatus Schekmaniibacteriota.
GUAAGCAACCAUGAUGGACUCGCUCCUUCCCCUCGUAUUACUGAGGAGAGAAGGGGAGGAAAGUCCGAGCUCCUCAGGGCAGGAUGCUGGGUAAUACCCAGUCCCGGUGACGGGAAGGAAAGUGCCACAGAAAAUAUACCGCUGCGGGGACGGAUCCUUCCGUUUAUCCCCUUCGGUCCGGGUCCCCGGAUGCAGAAGGUUCGCAGUAAGGGUGAAAAGGUGCGGUAAGAGCGCACCAGUACCCCGGGUAACCGGAGUAGCUUGGUAAACCCCAUCCGGAGCAAGACCAAAUAGGAAAACGUUUAAGGCUGCCCGCUACAGUUUUCGGGUAGGUCGCUCGAGAUACCGGGUAACCGGUAUCCCAGAUGAAUGUCUAUCGCCCGGUAUUUACCCGGGAACAGAACUCGGCUUACUGGUUGCUUGCCCAU